Molecule: ribosomal RNA, 556 nt
Filed under: uncultured bacterium
Lineage: Bacteria
Description: partial 16S ribosomal RNA
Rfam family: Bacterial small subunit ribosomal RNA
Source: RNAcentral
UAGGGAAUCUUCCACAAUGGACGCAAGUCUGAUGGAGCAACGCCGCGUGAGUGAAGAAGGCUUUCGGGUCGUAAAACUCUGUUAUUGAAGAAGAACGUGUGUGACAGUAACUAGUCAUGCAGUGACGGUAUUCAAUCAGAAAGUCACGGCUAACUACGUGCCAGCAGCCGCGGUAAUACGUAGGUGGCAAGCGUUGUCCGGAUUUAUUGGGCGUAAAGCGAGUGCAGGCGGUCUUUUAAGUCUGAUGUGAAAGCCUUCGGCUUAACCGAAGAAGGGCAUCGGAAACUGGGAGACUUGAGUGCAGAAGAGGAGAGUGGAACUCCAUGUGUAGCGGUGAAAUGCGUAGAUAUAUGGAAGAACACCAGUGGCGAAGGCGGCUCUCUGGUCUGUAACUGACGCUGAGGCUCGAAAGCGUGGGUAGCAAACAGGAUUAGAUACCCUGGGUAGUCCACGCCGUAAACGAUGAAUACUAAGUGUUGGAGGGCUUUCCGCCCUUCAGUGCUGCAGCUAACGCAUUAAGUAUUCCGCCUGGGGAGUACGACCGCAAGGUUGAAAC